GUAAACCUGUCUGGGGAGAGUAAAGUCUGCCCCGGGCUCAUGCACCAGUGGUGCCCCAGAAGUGUCUCCUGCUGGCCUCCUCCACAGCCUCCUCUCCCCCUCCACUUCCAGGCCAAGCUCUGUUCUCCAGGACCAGAAUUCCUUCAUCUCCACUCCAGGAAAGGCCACAUGUCUCUGGAGAGAUUGACAGAAGAACCGAGGGUCCCUCUCUGCUCUUCCCUGCUUGUUGUAUCCUGAGUGUUGGGAGACUCGGUUACAUCAGACAAGUAAAGAAGUGCAUUUGACUUCAUCUUUUUAAAGGAAUGAAAUGCAGCACAGAAGCCCACAGUGUGCUCCUUCUUCUGUAGCCUGGCCAAGUGAAAGUUUUGCGAUGUGUGAGGAAAACACAUUCACAUCCCUUGGAGAGUUUUGCAGAAUAUUUUCAAGGAAUAAAAUUGGAAGCUGUGGCCUUAGGUCAAUUAGUAACCAAGACACAUCCCGAGAAGUGUGCUGCAGUGUGAUUCUGUCAUCGAGGAAACAUCAGCCCACACUCACAUGGUGGAGGAGGAUCGUGGCUCCUCCUGGAGAUACGCUGUCACGAGGCCUCUGUCGAGUCCAUGGCCCACUGGUGACCGGAUGUUUGGAAGCACGCGGCUGUGUCUUGUUCGCAGCCACUGCAGACUUGAAGACCUGGAUCAGGUGUACAAAAUAGAAAAUGUGAUCACUGGAUCCAGAAGAUGAACACAUGAGGUUUUGCUCCAGAGUAUAGAGGACUGCCAAGUGGAGUCACUGCCUCCUGACCUUGGAAGAAGAGGAUGUCUGAGAACAGAAUUCACUAUGUAACUACUUAAGCCCAAAGAAAACCUCUUAAAUGUACAUUGUGAAAGAGCAUUUCCGGGCUCUGCUUCAAACUAAAUUGGCCUAGAUUUUCAUGGGGAUGCACUGUACUGUGAUUAAGGCGAAACAAUACCCCAGGAGUUUAUAUCGCUAGAGUGGCUGUCCAGCAAAAGAAAGACAGUCAUCCCUGCCCCCCUCUCGAGAGGGCAUGGUCCAAACACAGUGUUUGCUGUUGAAAGUUCACAUAUUAAAACCAGAAGUCAAUAACAUGAAACCUAGAGCCUUCCCUUUGGCAUUAUUUUCCAACAUCUCGUUCUGUGUACUAGUAAGGCACGACCGUACUGAAGCUGUGCGUAGGGUUUCUUCCUGUCUGCAUUUGUCUUACUUUGUUUUUAAC
Molecule: long non-coding RNA, 1213 nt
Filed under: Chinchilla lanigera (long-tailed chinchilla)
Lineage: Eukaryota; Metazoa; Chordata; Mammalia; Rodentia; Chinchillidae
Description: lncRNA (ENSCLAG00000023730.1)
Source: RNAcentral